GGCCUACUGGGCCUUCUGCGGGCCUGAAUCCUGGCCCAUGGAUGGGUUUCUAGUCGUAUUCAGGCCGUGGUGGCCUAGUAGGUGGCAUAAUUUUUAUUUUUUCCCUUUUUUUGUUUUCUUUUUUGCUUUAUUUAUUUUGUUUGGUUUCUACUAACAACAAAAAACUUAUUUAUUUUAUAUUAUUUUGUUUCUAAUUACUUAUUUAUUUUACUUUAUGAUAAUUCUUUUUGCUUUUAAAGUUUCUAACAAAAAAGUUCUUUAUGAAAAUUAUUUUUGCUUUCAAUGAUUUUGAACAGAAAAUACUUCGAUAAUUUUAGUUGCAUCAAUUUUAUAUAAUUUUAGUUUCAAUAAUACUAGAGGUUGCUUAUAAUGUUUUGAACAGAAAAUACUUUUAUAAUUUUAGUUUCAUAAAUUUUAUUUAUGUUAUUAAAGUUUAUUUUAUUUUGUUUCUACUUNNNNNNNNNNNNNNNNNNNNNNNNNNNNNNNNNNNNNNNNNNNNNNNNNNNNNNNNNNNNNNNNNNNNNNNNNNNNNNNNNNNNNNNNNNNNNNNNNNNNNNNNNNNNNNNNNNNNNNNNNNNNNNNNNNNNNNNNNNNNNNNNNNNNNNNNNNNNNNNNNNNNNNNNNNNNNNNNNNNNNNNNNNNNNNNNNNNNNNNNNNNNNNNNNNNNNNNNNNNNNNNNNNNNNNNNNNNNNNNNNNNNNNNNNNNNNNNNNNNNNNNNNNNNNNNNNNNNNNNNNNNNNNNNNNNNNNNNNNNNNNNNNNNNNNNNNNNNNNNNNNNNNNNNNNNNNNNNNNNNNNNNNNNNNNNNNNNNNNNNNNNNNNNNNNNNNNNNNNNNNNNNNNNNNNNNNNNNNNNNNNNNNNNNNNNNNNNNNNNNNNNNNNNNNNNNNNNNNNNNNNNNNNNNNNNNNNAUUUUUCAUGCAUUUACUGAUUAUUUUGAGCUAUAAGACCCUAAAAUUGAAAAGCAUUUCAAAUGAACUCUGAAAAGGUUGAAAGUUGGCAUGGUAUCAUCAUUUCAUCCACAUAGCAUGUGCAAGAAAGUUGAGAGGGUUACGGCAAAAACUGGAUGCACUUCGUGUACAAAACGGACAAUCUCUUUCGAAGUAUCAGGAUUUCAUACGGAAACUCGUCUGUUACAAAGGGAUUUCAUUUUUUAAAACUUAUUUGAACUCCUGACUUUUUGUGUGUUCAAAAUGCACCAUUCAAAGCCACAUCUCAUCAAUUUUCAACCCUUUCUGACUUCAUUUGUUAUUUUUCAUGCAUUUACUAAUUAUUUUGAGCUAUAAGACCCUAAAAUUGAAAAGCAUUUCAAAUGAACUCUGAAAAGGUUGAAAGUUGGCAUGGUAUCAUCAUUUCAUCCACAUAGCAUGUGCAAGAAAGUUGAGAGGGUUACGGCAAAAACUAGAUGCACUUCGUGUAUAAAACGGACAAUGGUAUCAUACUCGUCUGUUACAAAGUUGGCACGGUAUCAUCAUAAUAGUUGCGGGAGAAAGUCUUCACUUUUUCUUUGCUUGUGUCAUUUUCUUAUUGCGCCGUAACCAUGGAUAAUCUUCAUCGUUUAUCAGGAUGCUUGGGUCAGCCUUGACUUUGAAGGGAGGAAUUUCAUGAAACUUUUCAUAAUCUUCAGACAUGUCUGUCUUGCCCUCCACUCCCACAAUGUCCCUUUUUCCUUAAAGAACUAUGUGGCGCUUUGGCUCAUCGUCUGAUGUAUUCGCUUCCUUAUCUUUUCUUUUUCUCGGUCUGGUAGACAUGUCCUUCACAUAGAUAACAUGUGCCACAUCAUUGGCUAGGACGAACGGUUUGUCAAUGUACCCAAGAUUGUUCAGAUUCACUGUUGUCAUCCCGUACUGUGGGUCUACUGACACAUUGACCCAUUUGCACUUAAACAAAGGGACCUUAAAAUCAUGUUCGUAGUCAAGUUCCCAUAUGUCCAUUAUGUAACCAUAAUAUGUGUCCUUUCCCCUCUCGGUUCCUGCAUCAAAGCGGACACCGCUGUUUUGGUUGGUGCUCUUUUGAUCUUGGGCGAUCGUGUAAAGGUACACUACAGGUAUCUCCAAAAGUGUCUGUUGGGUUGGCACGAAUCGAGAUUGGGAUUUGUCACUCCAUAUGACGGAGAGGUAUCUCUGGGCCCACUCGGUAAUGCAUCAUCAUAAUGAGCUCAAUGUGACUAAUGAGUUAGUCACGGGAUCAUGCGUUACGGAACGAGUAAAGAGACUUGCCGGUAACGAGAUUGAACGAGGUAUGGGGAUACCGACGAUCGAAUCUCGGGCAACUAACAUACCGAUAGACAAAGGGAAUUGUAUACGGGAUUGAUUGAAUCCUCGACAUCGUGGUUCAUCCGAUGAGUCAUCGAGGAGCAUGUGGGAGCCAACAUGGGUAUCCAGAUCCCGCUGUUGGUUAUUGACCGGAGAGUCGUCUCGGUCAUGUCUGCGUGUCUCCCGAACCCGUAGGGUCUACACACUUAAGGUUCGGUGACGCUAGGGUUGUAGAGAUAUUAGUAUGCGGUAACCCUAAAGUUUUUCGGAGUCCCGGAUGAGAUCCCGGACAUCACGAGGAGUUCCGGAAUGGUCCGGAGGUAAAGAUUUGUAUAUAGGAAGUCCAGUUUCGGCCACCGGGAAAGUUUCGGGGUUCACCGGUAUUGUACCGGGACCACCGGAAGGGUCCCGGGGGUCCACCUAUCCCGGAGGGCCCCAUGGGCUGAAGUGGGAAGGGAACCAGCCCCUGGUGGGCUGGUGCGCCCCAUGGGCCUUCCCCUGCGCCUAGUGUUGGAAACCCUGGGGGUGGGGGCACCCCACCUGACUUGGGGGGUAAGUUCCCCCUUGGCCGCCGCCCCCCCUUGAGAUUGGAUCUCUAGGGGCCGGCACCCCCCCAGGGCCCCUAUAUAAAGAGGGGGGAGGGAGGGCUGCGCACCCAAGCCCCUGGCGCCUCCCUCUCCCCCCGUAACACCUCUCCCUCUCGCUGAGCUUGGCGAAGCCUUGCCGAGAUGCCCGCUGCUUCCACCACCACGCCGUCGUGCUGCUGGAUCUCCAUCAACCUCUCCUCCCCCUUGCUGGAUCAAGAAGGAGGAGACGUCUCUCCCAACCGUACGUGUGUUGAACGCGGAGGUGCCGUCCGUUCAGCGCUAGGAUCAUCGGUGAUUUGGAUCACGACGAGUACGACUCCAUCAACCCCGUUCUCUUGAACGCUUCCGCUCGCGAUCUACAAGGGUAUGUAGAUGCACUCCUCUCUCUCGUUGCUAGAUGACUCCAUAGAUUGAUCUUGGUGAUGCGUAGAAAUUUUUAAAUUUCUGCUACGAUCCCCAAUAGUGGUAUCAGAGCUAGGUCUAUGCGUAGAUUCUAUGCACGAGUAGAACACAAAGUAGUUGUGGGCGAUGAUUUGUUCAAUUUUCUUGCCGUUACUAGUCUUAUCUUGAUUCGGCGGCAUUGUGGGAUGAAGCGGCCCGGACCGACCUUAUACGUACUCUUACGUGAGACAGGUUCCACCGACUGACAUGCACUUGAUGCAUAAGGUGGCUAGCGGGUGUCUGUCUCUCCCACUUUACUCGGAUCGGAUUCGAUGAAGAGGGUCCUUAUGAAGGGUAAAUAGCAAUUGGCAUAUCACCGUUGUGGCUUUUGCGUAGGUAAGAAACGUUCUUGCUAGAAACCCAUAGCAGCCACGUAAAACAUGCAACAACAAUUAGAGGACGUCUAACUUGUUUUGCAGGGUAUGCUAUGUGAUGUGAUAUGGCCAAAAGGAUGUGAUGAAUUAUAUAUAUGUGAUGUAUGAGAUUGAUCAUGUUCUUGUAAUAGGAAUCACGACUUGCAUGUCGAUGAGUAUGACAACCGGCAGGAGCCAUAGGAGUUGUCUUCAUUUAUUGUAUGACCUGCGUGUCAAUGAGAAACGCCAUGUAAUUACUUUACUUUAUUGCUAACCGUUAGCCAAGGUAGUAGAAGUAAUAGUUGGCGAGACAACUUCAUGAAGACACGAUGAUGGAGAUCAUGAUGAUGGAGAUCAUGGUGUCAUGCCGGUGACGAAGGUGAUCAUGCCGUGCUUCGAAGAUGGAGAUCAAAAGGCGCAAGAUGAUAUUGGCCAUAUCAUGUCACUUUAUGAUUUGCAUGUGAUGUUUGUGAUGUUUACAUCUUAUUUGCUUAGAACGACGAUAGCAUAAAUAAGAUGAUCCCUCACUAAAAUUUCAAGAGAUGUGUUCCCCCUAACUGUGCACCGUUGCGAAGGUUCGUUGUUUCGAAGCACCACGUGAUGAUCGGGUGUGAUAGAUUCUAACGUUCGCAUACAACGGGUGUAAGCCAGAUUUACACAUGCGAAACACUUAGGUUGACUUGACGAGCCUAGCAUGUACAGACAUGGCCUCGGAACACAAGAGACCGAAAGGUCGAACAUGAGUCGUAUAGUAUAUACGAUCAACAUGAAGAUGUUCACCGAUGAUGACUAGUCCGUCUCACGUGAUGAUCGGACAUGGCCUAGUUGACUCGGAUAAUUUAUCACUUAGAUGACUAGAGGGAUGUCUAUCUAUGUGGGAGUUCAUUAAAUAAUCAUAUGAACUUAAUUAUCAUGAACAUAGUCAAAAGGUCUUUGCAAAUUAUGUCGUAGCUUACGCUUUAGUUCUACAGUUUAAGAUAUGUUCCUAGAGAAAAUUUAGUUGAAAGUUGAUAGUAGCAAUUAUGCGGACUGGGUCCGUAAACUGAGGAUUGUCCUCAUUGCUGCACAGAAGGCUUAUGUCCUUAAUGCACCGCUCGGUGUGCUGAACCUCGAGCGUCGUUUGUGGAUGUUGCGAACAUCUGACAUACACGUUUUGAUGACUACGUGAUAGUUCAGUGCGUAAUGUUGAACGGUUUAGAAUUGAGGCACCGAAGACAUUUUGAAACGUCGCGGAACAUAUGAGAUGUUCCAAGAGCUGAAAUUGGGAUUUUAGGCUCGUGCCCACCUCAAGAGGUAUGAGACCUGUGACAAGUUUCUUAAGCCUGCAAACUAAGGGAGAAAAGCUCAAUCGUUGAGCAUGUGCUCAGAUUGUCUGAGUACUACAAUCGCUUGGAUCGAGUGGGAGUUAAUCUUCCAAAUGAGAUAGUGAUGGUUCUCCAUAGUCACUGCCACCAAGCUAUUAGAGCUUCGUGAUGAACUAUAACAUAUCAGGGACAGACAUGAUGAUCCUUGAGCAACUCGCGAUGUUUGACACCGCGAAAGUAGAAAUCAAGUAGGAGCAUCAAUUGUUGAUGGUUAGUAAAACCACUAGUUUCAAGAAGGGCAAGGGAAAGAAGGGAUACUUCAUGAAACGGCAAAUCAGUUGCUGCUCUAGUGAAGAAACCCAAGGUUGAACCCAAACCCGAGACUAAGUGCUUCUGUAAUGAGGGGAACGGUCACUGAAGCAGAACUACCCUAGAUACUUGGUAGAUGAGAAGGCAGGCAAGGUCGACAGAAGUAUAUUGCAUAUACAUUAUAUCAAUGUGUACUUUACUAGUACUCCUAGUAGCACCAGGGUAUUAGAUACCGGUUUGGUUGCUAAGUGUUGGUAACUCGAAAUAAAAGGCUGCGGAAUAAACGGAGACUAGCUAAAGGUGAGAUGACGAUAUGUGUUGGAAGUGUUUCCAAGGUUGAUGUGAUCAAACAUCGCACGCUCCCUCUACCAUUGAGAUUGGUGUUAAACCUAAAUAAUUGUUAUUUGGUGUUUGCGUUGAGCAUAGACAUGAUUGGAUUAUGUUUAUCGCAAUACGGUAAUUCAUUUAAGGAGAAUAAUGGUUACUCUGUUUGAGUAAUACCUUCAAUGGUCUUGCACCUAAAAUGAAUGGUUUAUUGAAUCUCGAUCGUAGUGAUACACAUGUUCAUGCCAAAAGAUAUAAGACAGUAAUGAUAGUACCACAUACUUGUGGCACUGCCACUUGAGUCAUAUUGGUAUUAAAAGCAUGAAUAAGCUCCAUGUUGAUGGAUCUUUGGACUCACUCGUUUUUGAAAAGAUUGAGAUAUGUGAACCAUGUCUAUUAGUAUAUAUGCAUGAAGAAAGUCCAUACAGAUGGAUCGUUUGGACUCACUUGAUUUUGAAUCACUUGAGACAUGCAAAUCAUACCACAUGGGCAAGAUGACUGAAAGGCCUCGUUUUCAGUAAGAUGGAACAAGAAAGCAACUUGUUGGAAGUAAUACAUUUUGAUGUGUGCAGUCCAAUGAGUGCUGAGGCAUGCAGUGGAUAUCGUUAUGUUCUUACUUCACAGAUGUUUUGAGUAGAUGUUGAGUAUAUUUACUUGAAGAAACACAAGUCUGAAUUAUUGAAAGGUUCAAGUAAUUUCAGAGUGAAGUUGAAGAUCGUUGUGACAAGAGGAUAAAAUGUCUGUGAUAUGAUCAUAGAGAUGAAUAUCUGAGUUACGAGUUUGGCACACAAUUAAGACAUUGUGGAAAUUGUUUCACAACUGAUACCGCCUGGAACACCAUAGUGUGAUGGUGUGUCCGAACAUCAUAACUACACCCUAUUGGAUAUGGUGCAUACCAUGAUUUCUCUUAUCGAAUUACCACUAUCGUUUAUGGGCUAGGCAUUAGAGACAACCGCAUUCACUUUAAUAGGGCACCACGCAAUUCCGUUGAGACGACACCGUAUGAACUAUGGUUUAGAGAAACCUAAGCUGUCGUUUCUUAAAAGUUUGGGGCUGCGACGCUUAUGAAAAAAGUUUCAGGCUGAUAAGCUCGAACCCAAAGCGGAUAAAUGCAUCUUCAUAGAAUACCCAAAACAGUUGGGUAUACCUCCUAUUUCAGAUCUGGAAGCAAAAGUGAUUGUUUCUAGAAUCGGGUCCUUUCUUAAGGAAAAGUUUCUCUCGAAAGAAUUGAGUGGGAGGAUGGUGGAGACUUGAUGAGGUUAUUGAACCAUGACUUCAACUAGUGUGUAGCAGCGCACAAGAAGUUGUUCCUGUGGCGCCUACACCAAUUGAAGUGGAAGCUAAUGAUAGUGAUCAUGAAACUUCGGAUCAAGUCAUUACCAAACCUCGCAGGUCGACAAGGAUGCGUACUACUUCAGAGUGGUAUGGUAAUCCUGUCUUGGAAGUCAUGUUGCUAGACAACAAUGAAACCUACGAGCUAUGGAGAAGCGAUGGUGGGCCCGGAUUCCGACGAAUGGCUCGAGGCCAUAAAAUCCGAGAGAAUCCAUGUAUGAAAACAAAGUAUAGACUUUGGAAGAACUACUUGAUGGUCGUAAGGCUGUUGGGUAUAGAUGGAUUUUAAAGGGAAAAUAGACAAUGAUGGUAAGUAUCACCAUUAAGAAAGCUCGACUUGUCGUUAAGAUGUUUUCUGACAAGUUCAAGGAGUUGACUACGAUGAGACAUUCUCACUCGUAGCGUUGCUAAGAGUCUGUUGGAAUUAUAUUAGCAGUUACUGCAUUAUUUAUGAAAUCUUGCAGAUAGGACGUCAAAACAUUGUUUCCUCGACGAUUUUCUUGAGGAAAGGUUGUAUGUGAUACAACCAGAAGGUUUUGUCAAUCCUGAAAGAUGCUAACAAGUAUGCAAAGCUCCAGCAAUCCUUCUAAGGACUGGGGUAAGCAUCUCGGAGAUGGAAUGUACGCUUUGAUGAGAUGAUCAAAGAUUUUGGGUUUAUACAAAGUUUAUGAGAAACUUGUAUUUCGAAAGAAGUGAGUGUGAGCACUAUAGAAUUUUUGAUGAGUAUAUGUUGUUAACAUAUUAUUGAUCAGAAAUGAUGUAGAAUUUCUAGAAAGCAUAGAAGGUUAUUUGAAAAGUGUUUUUCAAUGGAAAACUUGGAUUAAGCUACUUGAACAAUGAGCAUCAAGAUCUAUAAGGAUAGAUCAAAAACGCUUAAUAGUACUUUCAAAUGAAUACAUACCAUGACAAGAUUUUGAAGGAGUUCAAAAUAGAUCAGCAAAGAAGGAUUUCUUGGCUGUGUUACAAGGUGUGAGUAUUGAGUAAGACUCAAGACCUGACCACAACAGAAGAGAGAGAAAGGACGAAGGUCGUCCCCUAUGCUUUAGACGCAGGCUCUACAGUAUGCUAUGCUGUGUACCGCACUUGAAGUGUGCCUUGCCAUGACUUAGUCAAGGGGUACAAGAGUGAUCCAGGAAUGGAUCACAUGACAGCGGUUGAACUUAUCCUUAGUAACUAGUGGACUAAGGAAUUUUCUCGAUUAUGGAGGUGGUAAAAGAGUUCGUCAUAAAGGGUUACGUCGAUGCAAACUUUGACACUAAUCCGGAUGACUCUGAGUAGUAAACCGGAUUCGUUUAGUAGAGCAGUUAUUUGGAAUAGCUCCAAGUAGCGCGUGGUAGCUGCAUCUAUAAGAUGACAUAGAGAUUUGUAAAGCACACACAGAUCUGGAAGGUUCAGACCCGUUGACUAAAAAACCUCUCUCACAAGCGAGAUAUGAACAAACCCCAUGGGUGUUGGAUUCAUUACAAUCACAUAGUGAUGUGAACUAGAUUAUUGACUCUAGUGCAAGUGGGAGACUGUUGGAAAUAUGCCCUAGAGGCAAUAAUAAAAUGGUUAUUAUUGUAUUUCCUUGUUCAUGAUAAUUGUCUAUUGUUCAUGCUAUAAUUGUGUUAUCCGGAAAUCGUAAUACAUGUGUGAACACAUAGACCAUAACAUGUCCCUAGUGAGCCUCUAGUUGACUAGCUCGUUGAUCAAUAGAUGGUUACGGUUUCCUAACCAUGGACAUUGGAUGUCAUUGAUAACGGGAUCACAUCAUUAGGAGAAUGAUGUGAUGGACAAGACCCAAUCCUAAGCAUAGCACAAGAUCGUGUAGUUCGUUUGCUAAGAGCUUUUCUAAUGUCAAGUAUUGUUUCCUUAGACCAUGAGAUUGUGCAACUCCCGGAUAGCGUAGGAAUGCUUUGGGUGUACCAAACGUCACAACGUAACUGGGUGGCUAUAAAGGUACACUACAGGUAUCUCCGAAAGUGUCUGUUGGGUUGGCACGAAUCGAGAUUGGGAUUUGUCACUCCGUAUGACGGAGAGGUAUCUCUGGGCCCACUCGGUAAUGCAUCAUCAUAAUGACCUCAAUGUGACUAAUGAGUUAGUCAUGGGAUCAUGCGUUACGGAACGAGUAAAGAGACUUGCCGGUAACGAGAUUGAACGAGGUAUGGGGAUACCGACGAUCGGAUCUCGGGCAAGUAACAUACCGAUAGACAAAGGGAAUUGUAUACGGGAUUGAUUGAAUCCUCGACAUCGUGGUUCAUCCGAUGAGAUCAUCGAGGAGCAUGUGGGAGCCAACAUGGGUAUCCAGAUCCCGCUGUUGGUUAUUGACUGGAGAGUCGUCUCGGUCAUGUCUGCGUGUCUCCCGAACCCGUAGGGUCUACACACUUAAGGUUCGGUGACGCUAGGGUUGUAGAGUUAUUAGUAUGCGGUAACCCGAAAGUUGUUCGGAGUCCCGGAUGAGAUCUCGGACAUCACGAGGAGUUCCGGAAUGGUCCGGAGGUAAAGAUUUGUAUAUAGGAAGUCCAGUUUCGGCCACCGGGAAAGUUUCAGGGGUCACCGGUAUUGUACCGGGACCGCCGGAAGGGUCCCGGGGGUCCACCGGGUGGGGCCACCUAUCCCGGAGGGCCCCAUGGGCUGAAGUGCGAAGGGAACCAGCCCCUGGUGGGCUGGUGCGCCCCAUGGGCCUCCCCCUGCACCUAGGGUUGGAAACCCUGGGGGUGGGGGGCGCCCCACCUGACUUGGGGGGCAAGUUCCCCCUUGGCCGCCACCCCCCCUUGAGAUUGGAUCUCUAGGAGCCGGCGCCCCCCAGGGCCCCUAUAUAAAGAGGGGGGGAGGGAGGGCUGCGCACCCAAGCCCCUGGCGCCUGCCUCUCCCCCCGUAACGCCUCUCCCUCUCGCUGAGUUUGGCGAAGCCCUGCCGAGAUCCCCGCUGCUUCCACCACCAUGCCGUCGUGCUGCUGGAUCUCCAUCAACCUCUCCUCCCCCCUUGCUGGAUCAAGAAGGAGGAGACGUCUCUCCCAACCGUACGUGUGUUGAACGCGGAGGUGCCAUCCGUUCGGCGCUAGGAUCAUCGGUGAUUUGGAUCACGACGAGUACGACUCCAUCAACCCCGUUCUCUUGAACGCUUCCGCUCGCGAUCUACAAGGGUAUGUAGAUGCACUCCUCUCUCUCGUUGCUAGAUGACUCCAUAGAUUGAUCUUGGUGAUGCGUAGAAAAUUAUAAAUUUCUGCUACGAUCCCCAACACCCGCCUCCUGACAGAUUGACCCAUUUGCACUUAAACAAAGGGACCUUAAAAUCAUGUCCAUAGUCAAGUUCCCAUAUGUCCAUUAUGUAACCAUAAUAUGUGUCGUUUCCCCUCUCAGUUGCUGCAUCAAAGCGGACACCGCUGUUUUGGUUGGUGCUCUUUUGAUCUUGGGCGAUCGUGUAAAAUGUAUUCCCAUUUAUCUCGUAUCCUUUGUAAGUCAAUACAGUCGAAGAUGGUCCCAUGGACAACGAGUACAACUCAUCACAAACAGUGGUGUCACCUCUGAGACGUGUUUCCAACCAACUACUGAAAGUCCUGAUGUGUUCACAUGUAAUCCAGUCGUCACACUGCUCCGGGUGUUUGGAGCGCAGACUGUUCUUGUGUUCAUCGACAUACGGGGUCACCAAGGUAGAGUUCUGUAGAACUGUGUAGUGUGCUUGAGACCAAGAAUAUCUGUCCCUGCAUAUUAUUGAGUCCCCUCCAAGCGUGCCUUUUCCAGUCAGUCUCCCCUCAUACCGCGAUUUAGGGAGACCUAUCUUCUUAAGGCCAGGAAUGAAGUCAACACAAAACCCAAUGACAUCCUCUGUUUGAUGGCCCAUGGAGAUGCUUCCUUCUGGCCUAGCGCGGUUACAGACAUAUUUCUUUGGGACUCCCAUGAACCUCUCAAAGGGGAACAUAUUGUGUAGAAAUACGGGCCCCAGAAUGACAAUCUCGUCGACUAGAUGAACUAGGACGUGCGUCAUGAUAUUGAAGACAGAUGGUGGGAACACCAGCUCGAAACUGACAAGACAUUGUGCCACAUCACUCCUUAGCCUUGGUAUGAUUUCUAGAUCGAUCACCUUCUGAGAGAUAGCAUUGAGGAAUGCACAUAGCUUCAGAAUGGCUAAUCGGACGUUUUUCAGUAGAAGCCCCCUCAAUGCAACCGGAAGCAGUUGCGUCAUAAUCACGUGGCAGUCAUGAGACUUUAGGUUCUGGAACUUUUUCUCUGGCAUAUUUAUUAUUCCCUUUAUAUUCGAUGAGAAGCCAGUCGGGACCUUCAUACUGAGCAGGCAUUCAAAGAAGAUUUCUUUCUCUUCUUUCGUAAGAGCGUAGCUGGCAGGACCUUCAUACCGCUUCGGAGGCAUGCCGUCUUUUUCGUGCAAACGUUGCAGGUCCCCCCGUGCCUCAGGUGUAUCUUUUGUCUUCCCAUACACGCCCAAGAAGCCUAGCAGGUUCACGCAAAGGUUCUUCGUCACGUGCAUCACGUUGAUUGAAGAGCGGACCUCUAGCUCUUUCCAGUAGGGUAGGUCCCAAAAUAUAGAUUUCUUCUUCCACAUGGGUGCGUGUCCCUCAGCGUCAUCCGGAACAGCUAGUCCACCGGGACCCUUUCCAAAGAUUACGUGUAAAUCAUUGACCAUAGCAAGUACAUGAUCACCGGUACGCAUGGCGGGCUUCUUCCGGUGAUCUGCCUCGCCUUUGAAAUGCUUGCCUUUCUUUCGACCUUGAUGGUUGGUCGGAAGAAAUCGACGAUGGCCCAGGUACACAUUCUUCCUGCAUUUGUCCAGGUAUAUACUUUCAGUGUCAUCCAAACAGUGCGUGCAUGUGUGGUAUCCCUUGUUUGUCUGUCCUGAAAGGUUACUGAGAGCGGGCCAAUCGUUGAUGGUUACAAACAGCAACGCGUGCAGGUUAAAUUCCUCCUGUUUGUGCUCAUCCCACGUACGUACACCGUUUCCAUUCCACAUCUGUAAAAUUUCUUCAACUAAUGGCCUUAGGUACACAUCAAUGUCGUUGCCGGGUUGCUUAGGGCCUUGGAUGAGAACUGGCAUCAUAAUGAACUUCCGCUUCAUGCACAUCCAAGGAGGAAGGUUAUACAUAGAUAGAGUCACGGGCCAGGUGCUGUGAUUGCUGCUCUGCUCCCUGAAAGGAUUAAUGCCAUCCGCGCUUAAACCAAACCAUACGUUCCUUGGGUCAGCUGCAAACUCAGCCCAGUACUUUCUCCCGAUUUUUCUCCACUGCGACCCGUCAGCGGGUGCUCUCAACUUCCUGUCUUUCUUACGGUCCUCACUGUGCCAUCGCAUCAACUUGGCAUGCUCUUCGUUUCUGAACAGAUGUUUCAACCGUGGUAUUAUAGGAGCAUACCACAUCACCUUCGCAGGAACCCUCUUCCUGGGGGCUCGCCGUCAACAUCACCAGGGUCAUCUCGUCUGAUCUUAUAUCGCAAUGCACCGCAUACCGGGCAUGCGUUCAGAUCCUUGUACGCACCGCGGUAGAGGAUGCAGUCAUUAGGGCAUGCAUGUAUCUUCUGCACCUCCAAUCCUAGAGGGCAUACGACCUUCUUGGCUGCGUAUGUACUGUCGGGCAAUUCGUUAUCCUUUGGAAGCUUCUUCUUCAAUAUUUUCAAUAGCUUCUCAAAUCCUUUGUCAGGCACAACAUUCUCUGCCUUCCACUGCAGCAAUUCCAGUACGGUACCGAGCUUUGUAUUGCCAUCUUCGCAAUUGGGGUACAACCCUUUUUUGUGAUCCUCUAACAUGAGAUCGAACUUCAGCUUCUCUUUUUGACUUUCGCAUUGCGUCCUUGCAUCGACAAUGACCCGGCGGAGAUCAUCAUCAUCGGGCACUGGUUCCUCUUGAUCUUCAGCAGCUUCCCCCCUUGCAGCAUCAUUGGGCACAGCGUCUGGUUCCUCUUGAUCUUCAGCAACUUGCCCCGUUGCAGCAUCACCGUAUUCAGGGGGCACAUAGUUGUCAUCGUCCUCUUCUUCUUCGCCGUCUUCCAUCAUAACCCCUAUUUCUCCGUGCCUCGUCCAAACAUUAUAGUGUGGCAUGAAACCCUUGUAAAGCAGGUGGGUGUGAAGGAUUUUCCGGUCAGAGUAAGACUUCGUAUUCCCACAUAUAGGGCAUGGACAACACAUAAAACCAUUCGGCUUGUUUGCCUCAGCCACUUCGAGAAAAUCAUGCACGCCCUUAAUGUACUCGGAGGUGUGUCUGUCACCGUACAUCCAUUGCCGGUUCAUUUGCGUGCAUUAUAUAUAAUUAAGUGUGUCAAAAACCAUUACAGAACAUCAUGAAUAGAUAAUUAAGUGACCAAAUUAAUAGAAGUUCAUCAUCACAUUAAAACCAAAGUACAUACAUAGUUCUCAUCUAACAACAUAUAUAUAGCUCUCCAGAGCAUCUAAUUAAUUAAACCAUACAUUGAAACUAUGUAAAACAUUUCAAUGCGAAAACAAAUGCGAUCAUAAUCGCAACCAAGGUAACAAUUGAUCCAACGGCAUAAUGAUACCAAGCCUCGAUAUGAAUGGCAUAUUUUCUAAUCUUUCUAAUCUUCAAGCACAUUGCAUCCAUCUUGAUCUUGUGAUCAUCGACGACAUCCGCAACAUGCAACUCCAAUAUCAUCUUCUCCUCCUCAAUUUUUUUAUUUUUUCCUUCAAGUAAUUGUUUUCUUCUUCAACCAAAUUUAACCUCUCGACAAUAGGGUCGGUUAGAAUUUCCGGUUCAACCGCCUCCUAGAUAAAUAAAAUCUAUGUCACGUUGGUCGGCAUAUUUGUCAUAAACAAUAAAUGAACCAAAUAUUUAUAAAAAGAUAAUAUAUACCACAUCCGAAUCAUAGACAGGACGAGGGCCGACGGGGGCGGAUACCAAAACCAUCAAUAAAAGUAAAAAAAAUUAGACAAGUAUCUAUCUAAAGUAAGAAUUUUUUUCUUUCAGAAAGAAGAUAAGAACAAGAGGCUCACCAUGGUGGUGCUGGCGACGAGAUCGGCGCGGGCGAUCGACGGCGGUGAAGACGGGGACGGGACGUGACGGACCGCUAAACCUAGACAAAUCUCGGGGAAAAUGGAGCACGGAGGUCGAGUUUCGAGAGGAGAAAGAUUAACUAGUGUGGCUCAGACAUUUCAUCGAACACCUCAUGUGCAUAGGAGGUGAGCUAGAGCAACCAAAUGCCCUCCCCACGCCGGCCAGAAAAAAUAGAGCACUGUGGAGUGCUCUGCUGUGGCGAUGGGGUAUAUAUAGGCAACUAAUUGGUCCCGGUUCGUGGCACCGACCGGGACUAAAGUCCUUUGGUCCCGGUUGGUGCCAUGAACCGGGACCAAUGCCCCCCUUUAGUCCCGGUUGGUGUCACCAACCGGGACCAAAGGCCUUGUGCUGCCCCGCGUCAAAAGUUUAGUCCCACCUCGCUAGUUGAGAGAGCUCGAGAGUGGUUUAUAAGCGCUGCUGCGCCCACCCUCUCGAGCUCCUCUCAAUUGCAGGCUUUCGGGCCUAACUGUUCUCUUUGCCUGUGGGGCCUACUAGGCCUUCUGCGGGGCUGAAUCCUGGCCCAUGGAUGGGUUUCAAGUCGUAUUCAGGCCGUGGUGGCCUAGUAGGUGGCAUAAUUUUUUUCCCUGUUUUUGUUUUCUCUUUUGCUUUAUUUAUUUUGUUUUGUUUCUACUUACAACAAAAAACUUAUUUAUUUUAUUCCAUUUUGUUUCUAAUUACUUAUGUAUUUUACUUUAUUUAUUUUAUUUUUAUUUAUUUUACUGCUGCUAUUUUUAUUUAUUUUACUGCUGCUAUUUUUAUUUAAUUUAUUAAGGUUUAUUUAUUUUAUUUACUAUAGUUUAUUUUAUUUUAUUUUAUUAAGGUUUAUUUAUUUUUAUUUAUUUUAUUAAGGUUUAUUUAUUUUAUUUACUAUAAGAAAAUGAACAUAGAUGCGCCUAUAGAGAAAAUUCAACCUAAAUUCAUAAUAAAUUUCUAUGAAAUUCAAAGAAAUUUACUGUGAAUUUAGGUCAAAUUCCUUGUAUAAGGGCAUCUAUUUUCACUUUGAGAGGAGCUAAACAAGGCAGAGAGGGACGGGCUUAUAAACCGGUG
Molecule: long non-coding RNA, 14940 nt
Filed under: Triticum aestivum (bread wheat)
Lineage: Eukaryota; Viridiplantae; Streptophyta; Magnoliopsida; Poales; Poaceae
Description: long non-coding RNA (TAES_LNC009352)
Source: RNAcentral